Molecule: long non-coding RNA, 5744 nt
Organism: Brassica rapa (field mustard)
Lineage: Eukaryota; Viridiplantae; Streptophyta; Magnoliopsida; Brassicales; Brassicaceae
Source: RefSeq, a predicted model, not a curated record
AAAAACCGAACCGAACCAAAACCAACCCGAUAUCCGGAUUGAACACCCGUAAUCCAAAUGAAGCCAAACUAUUGUUUCAUUCUCCAAAAUAUAAUAAAAAUAAUAACUUAAUCCCGCGCAAGGCGCGGGUCUUAUCCUAGUAUAAAUGAGAAUGAGAGAAAAGGAAAUUUCAAAACAAAAACAGACUAUGAUGAUUUGUUAUGACCAAAAUUAAAUAUAUACUAAAAUAUUUAUAAAUUAAUUAUAUAAAUUAAUAAUUUAGUGAAUCAUUUAAUAAUAGUGUUGAAUUAAAUUUUGUAGCCGGUCAAUCUUUUGAUAAAUUAAUAUUUCGUAAAACUAAUAAUAUUAGUGGUUUAAUUGUAUCCAUAUUUGUUUGUAGUUCAAAGGAUGUUUAAGGACAUACUAUUCUUAUAUAUUUGACUUUUAGUAAUCACGUUUCAAGAAAAUCCAAAGUCUACUGUUUGUGACUUUUCUGGCUUUUGUUAGUGGACUCAAACAUGCACCCACAUUUCUCAACUUCUAUUACCUGAAUUUAUAUUUUAACACACAUUCUUUUGUUAUAUAAAUUGAAACAUUUGUUUAACCUCAAAAAGAGUUUUGUCAUCUAGUUAAGAAAUGUCUAGCACCAAUCUUAUAUUUUAACACAAUUACAUUUGUUAUAUAAAAAUAAAAAAGGUUUAACCUCAAACAGAGUUUUGUCCUCUAAUCAAGAAAUGUCUAGCACCAAUCUUAUAUUUUAACAUAAUUCUUUUUGCUAUAAAAAGAAACAUUAGUUCAAUCUCAAUACAGAAUUUUGUCAUCUAAUUAGAAAAUGUCUACCACCACGAGUUGGAUUCAUGUGCUUCUUCCCCCUUUGCCGACUCCAAUCUUUUUUACCUUUACAUUUAUUUUAUUUGUUCUUCAGCAUUCCACAUUCUCAAGUAUAGUCCAAAAGAAAAGCAAAAAAUGUUUCUUUUCACAAAUUUAGUUUUCCUAACUAGACAUGUACAUAAAGCCAAACCGAUUUGGUUGAACAGAGCUGAAGUUUAGCCAAUUCGGUUUGCAUUCGGUUUGUGCACAAAACCGGUCAACAACAACAUGUUUAGUCAGCAUUCAGUUCGGAUUUGAAAACCGAUCAGUUAAGCUUUAGACCGAAAUUUAUCAAACUGAACCAAACUCUUACAACGUAAACCAAAAUUAACCAAAAAAUACAAAUAACCAUAAUUUGGCACGUUUGUUUUUGAACCGAAAGCAGAACUGAAUAUCGUAAUAUCAGCCUAGAUAGAUAAAGCAACAAGCAAUAGCUUUCUUUCUUUAGGUCUUUUAGCUCUUAAUAAAUCAAAAUUGCAUGUCUACAUAUCUCAAAAGUUUAUUGUGUAUUCCAGCCAUCUUGAGGUUGUUUGCAGUUUAAUACCACACCUCCUUGACCUCCAAGAGAACUAUAUCACUUCUAAAAAUUUCCAAGUUCACUUUUGGCUCAACAAUGCUUUCCACCAAAUGAGCAUAAAGAUGGAGACUGCAUUUUCCUUGCCAUCAAUAACCACUGCUAUUAUGCUAUCCUGGAGGCAAACUCGAGAGCAAGUUUCAUACAAAGAAUGACCCAUAAUAUAUCCUUUCCAUAAAAAUAUUCUGAGAGAAAUAUAAAAACCAGACAAUAAAGAUAGUUGUAGGUUUGUAACCAUUGAGAAGACUAAUGUAUUGAGAAGACUAAUGUAAGUAAGCAGCGAAAUAGAGCAUCAGGACCAUAACUACAAAGUUUGCUAGAGGAUUCAGUUAGAUUCUAUAGAUGUAUAAGACAUAGAAAAUACACUGCGGAGACUGAAGCAGAUUCGCCUUUUUAUCUUUGAAACUCAGAUAAAAUUGGAAAAUUAUCUAAAAUAGCGCAUAUUCCUAAUAUCACUUAUCAUAUUUACUUUAACAAUUUUCACUCUCACUUUUAAAGAGAAAAAAAGACAUUUAUAUGACUUAGGAUUUAGAAUUGAAAGGUGAGGUAGGGAUUUUUGGAAUAUGGAGUUAAGUAUUCUAAUAAAUAUAUAAAUAAAAACUAAUUUUUUAAAAUUUCUUUUUAAAAUAGUUUCAUAAAAUAUUUUUUUUUCAUCUGAAAAUGUAUAAUUUGAAAACUAUAAAAAAAGAGAAUUUUUAUUUUUUAUUUUUUUAUUUAUUUAAAUAAUUAUUUUUUAUUUAUGUAGAGCAAAUAUAUAAAAGUCUUUUGUUUCUUAAUGAAUAAUGAAUUUUUGAAAAUUUCUCUUUAGUGAAGGUAAACAUGAAUAAUGAUAUCAACAAUGUGGUAAACAUGUUCACCGAUAAAAUUUAGGAAUCAAUCAGAAUGGUGUCUUUUCUUUUUUUUUGUUAGAGAAAAAAGAGCUUUCUACACUAACUCAAGAAUCAAGAGUUAUGCAAGCAAAAAAAAAAUGGAGAUCAAACAAUGCAACUUGACUCAUAGCUCCAUGAUCAUUAUCAAGACAGUCUAGCAGACAUGAUAUGGUAAGGCUGUUUGGUAAUCUGAUAUCCAGGGGAAACACAAUGGAUCACAAGUGUUUGGGCGAAAAGUACUUGACGUGAAUCUUCAAGAGAAAGAUAUGUUAUCUCAUACUUGAGUCUGUCAUGUUUAGUCACAAACAGAGUUAAAAGGUCCAAAUGACAAGUAUUCUUAGCUUGGCAAUGCGACUUAUGUUAACAACAACCAGUUCAUUCACAAGAACGGUUUCUAAAUGGUCCAGUAUUUUCUUUGGCUUGACAAAAGCCAAAGCCUGGGUCUGCUUCUUGAGAAAUUAUCCGACAGCCCAAGAGCUUUCCGCAUUAAACGUACGCAGAAGUGGGAAUCAAUCGAUUGGGAGCGAAUGAGACUAUGAACUUAUGGGGCAAGAGCUUCGGCGCUGAGGUGACAUAGCGUUAGAAAUAUCAUGAAAUGCCGUCACAACAAAUCUACCGGAAACUUGUUAUGAAACGCAAUCAGGGCUCAGAAGAUUUGGAUUCAGAGAAGAAACCUCUGCUUCAGUCUCUUCACCUGCCUAAUGUAUUUGGUAUUAGUUCAUUGAAGGGAGAAACGACGACGUAUUUAUUAAGCAUGUAUGUGAGGUUUUCUAUUUCGUCCCACAUCGUCAAAUAACAGGGAACUCGUACUGUUUAUAUAUCAGAGAGAUGGAAGUGAAGGUCACGACCUUACUUGAACAGGAUCUGUUCUAUAGGCUCGUACCUCUGUAUCCUUGAUUUCUAAGGAGAUAGUCCCUCAAAUUCUGGUUGAUGAAUCAUGGCCGUGCGGUCUGAGUGUGAUUAACGGUUACGAUUCUCCUCGGAGUCUCAGUGCUGUAGAGGAUCGCUAUCUGGUUAGGUCUUGACCUCUCCAGAGUGGUCGCACGGUUGUCUGACAGGCUUUCCUAUUUUGCCCCUUCCUCUGGGGUUUGCCAUUGUGAUAACAGACUUUUGAACUUUCUUGCAGAUCCAUUCUUGAUCAUAUCUUUCAUUGACACCACCGCAGACAAGCACCGUGAAGACCACAAGCCUCAGGAGCAGCCUUGAAUUACAAAAAUUAAUUGAUCUUUGAGUUAAUUUGUUAGUUGAAACAUAUAAUUGUUGUUUUACCAUAUCACUAUAUUUUGAUCCGGUUUUGGAAGCGCGGAUUUAUUUUGGAAUUAAAUAAAUUAUUUUUAUACGAAUUUCUAUAUAAGAUAAAAUAUCUAUUUGAGCACAUUUAACGGGAACAAAGAAACCGAAUCGUACCAUAAAAAAAUCUAAACAAAACUAAAUAUUAUAUUUAACCGAGCGGAUCUAAUACCUCUAGAACUAAAAAACCAGGACCGAACCAAAAACUAAGAGUAUCCAAAAAAUUUAAAUACAAAUUAUAUACCAACAAUUUUUAGUUAUAUUUAAUUUCUAAAUAGCCAAAUAUCUAAAAAUAUUAUUUAUAAACCUACUUACCCAAAAAGCAAAUUACCCAAUUUUUUAUUAGAAAUAUUAAAAUUUAUCUGAUUAUUCAUAUUUUGUCCAAACAACCUGAAUAACCGAUUUUUAAACUGACCAACCUGAAUUAUCUAAUAUUUUAUUAUAAAUCUGAAAUUACCAAAAACCAUAUCGAACUGGAAACAAAUUGGACCUGAAUUUAUUUUGGAUAUUAACUAGUUCCUAACUUUGGUAUCCAAACCAAAGCAGAAACCAAAAUAACUCAACUGAAACUGAACUAUACUUUGUGGAAGUACCGGAAGUAUUUCUAAAUUUCUAGAAACACAACACCAAAAACCAAAAAAAAAAAAAAAAACUCAAACCAAAUGUUGAUGACUAAUAGUGCACUACAUUUAGAUGGUGUGAAAAAUUAUUGUACUUUUACAAAGUAUUUAACUCCCUUAGUUGGGUACAUAUGUGGUUUAUAGACGACUUAAGAUAUAAGCAGUGUUUCCAUACACGAUUUAGACAUGCAGUCGAGUCGGUAAACCUCGUAACCACAUAUAAUAUGGUUUCGAUUUAAUGAAAAAAACUCAUUAACUAAAAAUUUAAUAAAACCUAAAAGUCCGCCACUAACCCGUGAACCGACACAUAUUGAUCCGGUAAAAUUCCAGAAAAAAUGUGAUUAAACUUCUCAUAUACUUUUUAUUAGUAUAAAAAGUUAAAUAAACUAUUUGAUUUGUCAUAUAAAGUAAAUACAUUGUAUUUAUGUUAUGUAUUUUAAUUUAUGAGUUUUGUAAUGAUCAUAUUAAAGUUACAUUUGUGAGUUUUGAGAUUAAUAUGAGAUUUUAAUAAUUUUAGUUAUAUUAUUAUAAUAUAACUAUGUAUCUAGAUGAAAUUUCAUUUUUUUCAAGUGAAAUUAUUUUAACGUGUGUUGUGGACUAUUAAUCUAUUAUAAAUGUAUUUGCCAGUGUCACACACUAAAGGUUAGCCAAAUGAAAAUGUCACACAGUUAAACUAUUUUGUAACAGUUUCCACAGUUAAACUAUUUUGUAACAGUUUCCUCGCUUUUAAUGAGAUAACUUUUAAUGAAUAAUUUUUUUUUUUUUAAUAUGUACUUAUAUUUAUCAACCGGUCAAACCGGAAUUCAGUGUUUGAUACAAGCUUGGUUCAACCAGAAUUUCUAAAAUUAACCAUUACAAAACAUAGCUUCGCUCGCCCACUUAACCGACGCCAUCCGCUAGUUUGCUCCGAUAUCUUCAGAAAAUCAAUCUCUGUUCUCAGCCAUUAAUGUUGACCACGAGGAAGUGGGGUUUACCUAGUUUCCUCGGAUGUCGGACUCCUCGUGACAUCGUCGGAGGAGCUAGAUCUUGAUAAUUUCCCCAAAACUUGUAUCUUGACUGGACAUGAAGCGCUAGACACGAGCGGUUUAGAGGUAAGAGAUAGCAAACCUUGAAGGACGCCACCGAGACCUUACCGAACCGCAGACUGAGGAGGAGCGGGAUCACCAAAACCGUGAAGAUCAGGCAACUCAGAACCUCCGGACAAAUCGGGUUGCGAUGAUGACAAACCAAAUUUUGGGUCUUCAGUACCUGCAAUAAGAAAGAGCAAAGCCUACCAAGAUCACCAAUUGGCAAUCCCAGCACUGGGAUGGCUAAAAACUCCAAUCAAGUCACCCGCCGAUGGAGACCAAGAUGACUCAAACACUGGCCCCAACCGACGCCUUGACCCGAGAACUAGAGAACCUAGGACGGUCUCAUUGCGCUUCAGAACUACUCCUUGCUGGUGAGACUAAGAGUGGCAAGGAAGCGGCACCAAACAGCUCAACCGAACGAGCAACAACCCAAACCUAGAAGUGAGACGAACUAGCAAAACAGAGAGCAUCA